GGAGCUCGGCCAUCUCCGAGACCUGAGACACCUCAACCGCAGCUACAACUCCAUCCAAGGGCCGAUCCCAGCGACGCUUUCAACCUGCAGAGGAAUGGAGAACAUUUGGCUCUACAGCAACAAGCUGCAGGGCCAAAUACCAAGUGAGUUUGGAUCCCUGCAAAAUCUUCAGGCACUUGUUCUUGGGGAAAAUAGACUUACUGGAAGCAUCCCUUCAUUCAUUGGAAGCCUCGCGAAUCUGAAAUUUCUAAUCCUAGAAGAAAACAACUUUACAGGAGAAAUUCCAUCAGACAUAGGCAGACUGGCCAAUCUCACUGUUCUAGGACUAGGUUCUAAUCAACUCUCAGGACCAAUUCCUGCCUCAAUAGG
RNAcentral lists this long non-coding RNA (369 nucleotides) under Oryza sativa (Asian cultivated rice). Its description in RNAcentral is "long non-coding RNA (OSAT_LNC000300)". The record is from RNAcentral. Lineage: Eukaryota; Viridiplantae; Streptophyta; Magnoliopsida; Poales; Poaceae.